AUACUUACCUGACUUGGGAGAAAACAUGAUCACAAAAAGUGGUUUUCCCAGGGCGAUGAAUAUCCAUUGCACUCCAGAUAUGCUGAACCCUGCGAUUUCCCCAAAUGCGGUAGUGGAGGACUGUGUUCACACUCUCCCCAG
Small nuclear RNA from Rattus norvegicus (Norway rat), 141 nucleotides. Ensembl annotates it as U1 spliceosomal RNA. Lineage: Eukaryota; Metazoa; Chordata; Mammalia; Rodentia; Muridae. The record is from Ensembl.